This 283-nucleotide unclassified non-coding RNA is filed under the name plant metagenome. RNAcentral describes it as "partial contains small subunit ribosomal RNA, internal transcribed spacer 1, and 5.8S ribosomal RNA". The stretch from base 235 to 283 matches the Rfam family "5.8S ribosomal RNA", at positions 1 to 49 of the family's 154-position model. The record is from RNAcentral.
GUUCCGUAGGUGAACCUGCGGAAGGAUCAUUAUUGUAUAACCGAGGUGCGAGGGCUGUCGCUGACCCGAAAGGUCGUGCACGCCCGAGUGCCCUCACACACAUCCAUCUCACCCCUAUGUGCACCACCGCGUGGGUCCCCCUUUGGCUUGUUCGGAGGGGGGCUUACGUUUUCACACAAACUUUGUAUGCAGUGUAGAAUGUAUUUUUUGUUUUUGCGAUCACGCAAUCAAUACAACUUUCAACAACGGAUCUCUUGGCUCUCGCGUCGAUGAAGAACGCAGC